This 406-nucleotide ribosomal RNA is filed under the name uncultured bacterium. RNAcentral's name for it is "partial 16S ribosomal RNA". It matches the Rfam family "Bacterial small subunit ribosomal RNA", at positions 30 to 526 of the family's 1533-position model. The record is from RNAcentral.
AUUGAACGCUGGCGGCAGGCCUAACACAUGCAAGUCGAGCGAGCGGCGGACGGGUGAGUAAUAUCUGGGAACCUGCCUGAUGGAGGGGGAUAACGACUGGAAACGGUAGCUAAUACCACAUCCCAUCAGAUGUGCCCAGAUGGGAUUAGCUGGUGGGUGGGGUAACGGCUCACCUAGGCGACGAUCCCUAGCUGGUCUGAGAGGAUGAACAGCCACACUGGAACUGAGACACGGUCCAGACGCCUACGGGAGGCAGCAGUGGGGAAUAUUGCACAAUGGGCGCAAGCCUGAUUCAGCCAUGCCGCGUGUGUGAAGAAGGCCUUCGGGUUGUAAAGCACUUUCAGCGGGGAGGCGUUACCCGCAGAAGAAGCACCGGCUAACUCCGUGCCAGCAGCCGCGGUAAUAC